This 433-nucleotide ribosomal RNA is filed under the name uncultured bacterium. RNAcentral describes it as "partial 16S ribosomal RNA". It matches the Rfam family "Bacterial small subunit ribosomal RNA", at positions 29 to 507 of the family's 1533-position model. The record is from RNAcentral.
AACGAACGCUGGCGGCAUGCCUAACACAUGCAAGUCGAACGAGACCUUCGGGUCUGGUGGCGCACGGGGGCGUAACGCGUGGGAACCUGCCCUUAGGUUCGGAAUAACUCCCCGAAAGGGGUGCUAAUACCGGAUAAUGUCUUCGGACCCAAGGUUUAUCGCCUUUGGAUGGGCCCGCGUUGGAUUAGCUAGUUGGUAGGGUAAAAGCCUACCAAGGCGACGAUCCAUAGCUGGUCUGAGAGGAUGAUCCGCCACACUGGGACUGAGACACGGCCCAGACUCCUACGGGAAGCAGCAGUGGGGAAUAUUGGACAAUGGGCGAAAGCCUGAUCCAGCAAUGCCGCGUGAGUGAUGAAGGCCUUAGGGUUGUAAAGCUCUUUUACCCGCGAUGAUAAUGACAGUACCGGGAGAAUAAGCACCGGCUAACUCCGUG